GCCCCUAAGGCGAGGCAGAGAUGCGUAGUUGAUGGGAAACAGGUCAAUAUUCCUGUACCGAUGUGUAGUGCGAUGUGGGGACGGAGAAGGUUAACUCAGCCAACUGUUGGAUAUGUUGGUUCAAGCUUGUAGUCGUGCCUGGUAGGUAAAUCCGCCGGGCUUAGAUGAGGGGUGAUAACGAGGCUGCUUGCAGCCGAAGUGAGUGAUACCCUGCUUCCAGGAAAAGCCACUAAGCUUCAGCUAUACACGACCGUGCCGCAAACCGACACUGGUGCGCGAGAUGAGUAUUCUAAGGCGCUUGAGAGAACUCAGGAGAAGGAACUCGGCAAAUUGACACCGUAACUUCGGAAGAAGGUGUACCUUUAGUAGGUGAAGGGAUUUACUCCUGGAGCCCAAUGAGGUUGCAAAAAAUCGGUGGCUGCGACUGUUUAUUAAAAACACAGCACUCUGCAAACACGAAAGUGGACGUAUAGGGUGUGACGCCUGCCCGGUGCUGGAAGAUUAAAUGAUGGGGUGCAAGCUCUUGAUUGAAGUCCCAGUAAACGGCGGCCGUAACAAUAACGGUCCUAAGGUAGCGAAAUUCCUUGUCGGGUAAGUUCCGACCUGCACGAAUGGCGUAACGAUGGCCACACUGUCUCCUCCUGAGACUCAGCGAAGUUGAAAUGUUUGUGAUGAUGCAAUCUCCCCGCGGAAAGACGGAAAGACCCCAUGAACCUUUACUGUAGCUUUGUAUUGGACUUUGAACAGAUCUGUGUAGGAUAGGUGGGAGGCUUUGAAGCAGGGUCGCUAGAUCUUGUGGAGCCAACGUUGAAAUACCACCCUGGUGUGUUUGAGGUUCUAACCUAGGUCCAUUAUCUGGAUCGGGGACAGUGCAUGGUAGGCAGUUUGACUGGGGCGGUCUCCUCCCGAAGCGUAACGGAGGAGUUCGAAGGUACGCUAGUUACGGUCGGACAUCGUGACGAUAGUGCAAUGGCAUAAGCGUGCUUAACUGCGAGACUGACAAGUCGAGCAGAUGCGAAAGCAGGACAUAGUGAUCCGGUGGUUCUGUAUGGAAGGGCCAUCGCUCAACGGAUAAAAGGUACUCUGGGGAUAACAGGCUGAUACCGCCCAAGGGUUCAUAUCGACGGCGGUGUUUGGCACCUCGAUGUCGGCUCAUCUCAUCCUGGGGCUGUAGCCGGUCCCAAGGGUAUGGCUGUUCGCCAUUUAAAGAGGUACGUGAGCUGGGUUUAAAACGUCGUGAGACAGUUUGGUCCCUAUCUUCCGUGGGCGCUGCAGAUUUGAGGAAGCCUGCUCCUAGUACGAGAGGACCGGAGUGGACACACCUCUGGUGUAUCGGUUGUCACGCCAGUGGCAUUGCCGAGUAGCUAAGUGUGGAAGAGAUAACCGCUGAAAGCAUCUAAGCGGGAAACUCGUUUCAAGAUGAGAUCUGCCGGGGCCUUGAGCCCCCUAAAGAGUCGUUCAAGACCAGGACGUUGAUAGGCAGGGUGUGGAAGCGCAGUAAUGCGUUAAGCUAACCUGUACUAAUUGCUCGUGCGGCUUGACCG
This 1544-nucleotide ribosomal RNA is filed under the name metagenome. RNAcentral's name for it is "bacterial LSU rRNA". It matches the Rfam family "Bacterial large subunit ribosomal RNA", at positions 1387 to 2925 of the family's 2925-position model. The record is from RNAcentral.